AUUGAACGCUGGCGGCAUGCCUUACACAUGCAAGUCGAACGGUAGAGUAGCAAUACUCGAGAGUGGCGAACGGGUGAGUAAUAUAUCGGAACGUGCCCAGUCGUGGGGGAUAACGUAGAGAAAUUUACGCUAAUACCGCAUACGAUCUAAGGAUGAAAGCGGGGGAUCGCAAGACCUCGCGCGAUUGGAGCGGCUGAUAUCAGAUUAGGUUGUUGGUGAGGUAAAAGCUCACCAAGCCGACGAUCUGUAGCUGGUUUGAGAGAACGACCAGCCACACUGGGACUGAGACACGGCCCAGACUCCUACGGGAGGCAGCAGUGGGGAAUUUUGGACAAUGGGCGAAAGCCUGAUCCAGCAAUGCCGCGUGUGGGAAGAAGGCCUUCGGGUUGUAAACCACUUUUGUACGGAACGAAACGGUUCGCUUUAAUACAGUGGGCUAAUGACGGUACCGUAAGAAUAAGCACCGGCUAACUACGUGCCAGCAGCCGCGGUAAUACGUAGGGUGCGAGCGUUAAUCGGAAUUACUGGGCGUAAAGCGUGCGCAGGCGGUUAUAUAAGACAGUUGUGAAAUCCCCGGGCUCAACCUGGGAAUUGCAUCUGUGACUGUAUAGCUAGAGUACGGUAGAGGGGGAUGGAAUUCCGCGUGUAGCAGUGAAAUGCGUAGAUAUGCGGAGGAACACCGAUGGCGAAGGCA
This 694-nucleotide ribosomal RNA is filed under the name Pseudomonadota bacterium. Its description in RNAcentral is "bacterial SSU rRNA". It matches the Rfam family "Bacterial small subunit ribosomal RNA", at positions 28 to 723 of the family's 1533-position model. The record is from RNAcentral. Lineage: Bacteria; Pseudomonadati; Pseudomonadota.